GGUCGGCUGGGAAUUUCGGCUUGGCGCAAAGCCUGACGUAGCAACGCCGCUGCAAGGAAGACGGCCCUACGGGUCGUAAACUGCUUUUAGAAGGGAAUAAACCCACGCUCGUGAGCGUGGCUGAAGGUACCGUACGAAUAAGGAUCGGCUAACUCCGUG
RNAcentral lists this ribosomal RNA (159 nucleotides) under uncultured bacterium. RNAcentral describes it as "partial 16S ribosomal RNA". It matches the Rfam family "Bacterial small subunit ribosomal RNA", at positions 349 to 507 of the family's 1533-position model. The record is from RNAcentral.